Molecule: ribosomal RNA, 523 nt
Filed under: uncultured bacterium
Lineage: Bacteria
Description: bacterial SSU rRNA
Rfam family: Bacterial small subunit ribosomal RNA
Source: RNAcentral
CUACGUGCCAGCAGCCGCGGUAAUACGGAGGAUGCGAGCGUUAUCCGGAUUUAUUGGGUUUAAAGGGUGCGUAGGCGGCCUGUUAAGUCAGCGGUGAAAUCUAGGAGCUUAACUCCUAAAUUGCCAUUGAUACUGGCGGGCUUGAGUGUAGAUGAGGUAGGCGGAAUGCGUGGUGUAGCGGUGGAAUGCAUAGAUAUCACGCAGAACUCCGAUUGCGAAGGCAGCUUACUAAGGUACAACUGACGCUGAAGCACGAAAGCGUGGGUAUCAAACAGGAUUAGAUACCCUGGUAGUCCACGCAGUAAACGAUGAUAACUGGGCGUAUGCGAUAUACAGUAUGCUCCUAAGCGAAAGCGUUAAGUUAUCCACCUGGGGAGUACGCCGGCAACGGUGAAACUCAAAGGAAUUGACGGGGGCCCGCACAAGCGGUGGAGCAUGUGGUUUAAUUCGAAGCAACGCGAAGAACCUUACCAGGUCUUGACAUCCCUCUGACCGCUCUAGAGAUAGAGCUUUCUUCGGGACA